Molecule: ribosomal RNA, 497 nt
Filed under: uncultured bacterium
Lineage: Bacteria
Description: partial 16S ribosomal RNA
Rfam family: Bacterial small subunit ribosomal RNA
Source: RNAcentral
GAUGAACGCUGGCGGCGUGCCUAAUACAUGCAAGUCGAGCGAACGGACGAGAAGCUUGCUUCUCUGAUGUUAGCGGCGGACGGGUGAGUAACACUUGGAUAACCUACCUAUAAGACUGGGUUAACUUCGGGAAACCGGAGCUAAUACCGGAUAAUAUUUUGAACCGCAUGGUUCAAAAGUGAAAGACGGUCUUGCUGUCACUUAUAGAUGGAUCCGCGCUGCUUUAGCUAGUUGGUAAGGUAACGGCUUACCAAGGCAACGAUGCAUAGCCGACCUGAGAGGGUGAUCGGACACACUGGAACUGAGACACGGUCCAGACUCCUACGGGAGGCAGCAGUAGGGAAUCUUCCGCAAUGGGCGAAAGCCUGACGGAGCAACGCCGCGUGAGUGAUGAAGGUCUUCGGAUCGUAAAACUCUGUUAUUAGGGAAGAACAUAUGUGUAAGUAACUGUGCACAUCUUGACGGUACCUAAUCAGAAAGCCACGGCUAACUACGUG